Molecule: ribosomal RNA, 464 nt
Filed under: Vreelandella stevensii
Lineage: Bacteria; Pseudomonadati; Pseudomonadota; Gammaproteobacteria; Oceanospirillales; Halomonadaceae
Description: partial 16S ribosomal RNA
Rfam family: Bacterial small subunit ribosomal RNA
Source: RNAcentral
CCUACGGGGCGCUGCAGUGGGGAAUAUUGGACAAUGGGCGAAAGCCUGAUCCAGCCAUGCCGCGUGUGUGAAGAAGGCCUUCGGGUUGUAAAGCACUUUCAGUGGGGAAGAAAGCCUUGGGGCUAAUACCCUCGAGGAAGGACAUCACCCACAGAAGAAGCACCGGCUAACUCCGUGCCAGCAGCCGCGGUAAUACGGAGGGUGCGAGCGUUAAUCGGAAUUACUGGGCGUAAAGCGCGCGUAGGCGGUCUGAUAAGCCGGUUGUGAAAGCCCUGGGCUCAACCUGGGAACGGCAUCCGGAACUGUCAGGCUAGAGUGCAGGAGAGGAAGGUAGAAUUCCCGGUGUAGCGGUGAAAUGCGUAGAGAUCGGGAGGAAUACCAGUGGCGAAGGCGGCCUUCUGGACUGACACUGACGCUGAGGUGCGAAAGCGUGGGUAGCAAACAGGAUUAGAUACCGAGUAGUC